This 214-nucleotide long non-coding RNA is filed under the name Lathyrus oleraceus (garden pea). Its description in RNAcentral is "Pisum sativum (pea) long non-coding RNA (PSAT_LNC032139)". Lineage: Eukaryota; Viridiplantae; Streptophyta; Magnoliopsida; Fabales; Fabaceae. The record is from RNAcentral.
UCGGGUCGGCCCUGGUGACACUGAUUAUUAGGAUUUAAAAAUUAUUUUUAAUUCGUGGAAUUAUUGACUAGGAUAAUUUAUUUUUUAAUAGUUUUUUAUAUAAUUAAUAAUUUAAUAUAGUUAUUUAAUAAAUUUAUUAAUUAAAAUUAUGAAAAACAAUAAUUUAAUAUAUUGUUAUUUAAUGAAUUUAUUAAUUAAUUUUUUUUGAAAAAAC